GAUGAACGCUGGCGGCGUGCCUAAUACAUGCAAGUCGAGCGAACAGACGAGGAGCUUGCUCCUCUGACGUUAGCGGCGGACGGGUGAGUAACACGUGGAUAACCUACCUAUAAGACUGGGAUAACUUCGGGAAACCGGAGCUAAUACCGGAUAAUAUAUUGAACCGCAUGGUUCAAUAGUGAAAGACGGUUUUGCUGUCACUUAUAGAUGGAUCCGCGCCGCAUUAGCUAGUUGGUAAGGUAACGGCUUACCAAGGCAACGAUGCGUAGCCGACCUGAGAGGGUGAUCGGCCACACUGGAACUGGGACACGGUCCAGACUCCUACGGGAGGCAGCAGUAGGGAAUCUUCUGCAAUGGGCGAAAGCCUGACGGAGCAACGCCGCGUGAGUGAUGAAGGUCUUCGGAUCGUAAAACUCUGUUAUUAGGGAAGAACAAAUGUGUAAGUAACUAUGCACGUCUUGACGGUACCUAAUCAGAAAGCCACGGCUAACUACGUG
This 497-nucleotide ribosomal RNA is filed under the name uncultured bacterium. RNAcentral describes it as "partial 16S ribosomal RNA". It matches the Rfam family "Bacterial small subunit ribosomal RNA", at positions 28 to 507 of the family's 1533-position model. The record is from RNAcentral.